RNAcentral lists this ribosomal RNA (477 nucleotides) under uncultured bacterium. RNAcentral's name for it is "partial 16S ribosomal RNA". It matches the Rfam family "Bacterial small subunit ribosomal RNA", at positions 28 to 523 of the family's 1533-position model. The record is from RNAcentral.
GACGAACGCUGGCGGCGUGCUUAACACAUGCAAGUCGAACGGUAAGGCCCUUCGGGGUACACGAGUGGCGAACGGGUGAGUAACACGUGGGUGAUCUGCCCUGCACUUCGGGAUAAGCCUGGGAAACUGGGUCUAAUACCGGAUAGGACCACUGCCUGCAUGGGUGGUGGUGGAAAGCUUUUGCGGUGUGGGAUGGGCCCGCGGCCUAUCAGCUUGGUGGUGGGGUGAUGGCCUACCAAGGCGACGACGGGUAGCCGGCCUGAGAGGGUGACCGGACAAACUGGGACUGAGAUACGGACCAGACUCCUGCGGGAGGCAGCAGUGGGGAAUAUGGCACAAUGGGCGCAAGCCUGAUGCAGCGACGCCGCGUGAGGGAUGACGGCCUUCGGGUUGUAAACCUCUUCAGCACCGACGAAGCGCAAGUGACGGUAGGUGCAGAAGAAGGACCGGCCAACUACGUGCCAGCAGCCGCCGUAA